UGGGGAAUAUUGCACAAUGGGCGCAAGCCUGAUGCAGCCAUGCCGCGUGUAUGAAGAAGGACUUCGGGUUGUAAAGUACUUUCAGUCGGGAGGAAGGUGGUAAGGUUAAUAACCUUAUCAAUUGACGUUACCGACAGAAGAAGCACCGGCUAACUCCGUGCCAGCAGCCGCGGUAAUACGGAGGGUGCAAGCGUUAAUCGGAAUUACUGGGCGUAAAGCGCACGCAGGCGGUUGAUUGAGUCAGAUGUGAAAUCCCCGGGCUUAACCCGGGAAUUGCAUCUGAUACUGGUCAGCUAGAGUCUUGUAGAGGGGGGUAGAAUUCCAUGUGUAGCGGUGAAAUGCGUAGAUAUAUGGAGGAACACCAGUGGCGAAGGCGGCUCUCUGGUCUGUAACUGACGCUGAGGCUCGAAAGCGUGGGGAGCAAACAGG
Molecule: ribosomal RNA, 429 nt
Filed under: Chloroflexota bacterium
Lineage: Bacteria; Bacillati; Chloroflexota
Description: Chloroflexi bacterium partial 16S ribosomal RNA
Rfam family: Bacterial small subunit ribosomal RNA
Source: RNAcentral